CCUACGGGGGGGCAGCAGUGGGGAAUAUUGGACAAUGGGCGAAAGCCUGAUCCAGCCAUGCCGCGUGUGUGAAGAAGGCCUUCGGGUUGUAAAGCACUUUCAGUGGGGAAGAAAGCCUUGGGGCUAAUACCCUCGAGGAAGGACAUCACCCACAGAAGAAGCACCGGCUAACUCCGUGCCAGCAGCCGCGGUAAUACGGAGGGUGCGAGCGUUAAUCGGAAUUACUGGGCGUAAAGCGCGCGUAGGCGGUCUGAUAAGCCGGUUGUGAAAGCCCCGGGCUCAACCUGGGAACGGCAUCCGGAACUGUCAGGCUAGAGUGCAGGAGAGGAAGGUAGAAUUCCCGGUGUAGCGGUGAAAUGCGUAGAGAUCGGGAGGAAUACCAGUGGCGAAGGCGGCCUUCUGGACUGACACUGACGCUGAGGUGCGAAAGCGUGGGUAGCAAACAGGAUUAGAUACCCCAGUAGUC
RNAcentral lists this ribosomal RNA (466 nucleotides) under Vreelandella stevensii. RNAcentral describes it as "partial 16S ribosomal RNA". It matches the Rfam family "Bacterial small subunit ribosomal RNA", at positions 338 to 795 of the family's 1533-position model. Lineage: Bacteria; Pseudomonadati; Pseudomonadota; Gammaproteobacteria; Oceanospirillales; Halomonadaceae. The record is from RNAcentral.